RNAcentral lists this ribosomal RNA (408 nucleotides) under uncultured bacterium. RNAcentral's name for it is "partial 16S ribosomal RNA". It matches the Rfam family "Bacterial small subunit ribosomal RNA", at positions 28 to 526 of the family's 1533-position model. The record is from RNAcentral.
GACGAACGCUGGCGGCGUGCUUAACACAUGCAAGUCGAACGAAGUGGCGAACGGGUGAGUAAGGCGUAAUCAACCUGCCCUUCAGAGGGGGACAACAGUUGGAAACGACUGCUAAUACCGCAUACUGAAGGAGGGGAUUGCGUCUGAUUAGCUAGUGGGUGGGGGAACGGCCCACCAAGGAGAUGAUCAGUAGCCGGUCUGAGGGGGUGAACGGCCACAAUGGGACUGAGACACGGCCCCGACUCCUACGGGAGGCAGCAGUGGGGAAUCUUCCGCAAUGGGGGAAAGUCUGACGGAGCAACGCCGCGUGAGUGAUGACGGCCUUCGGGUUGUAAAGCUCUGUUAAUCGGGACGCGGUACCGGAAUAGAAAGCCACGGCUAACUACGUGCCAGCAGCCGCGGUAAUAC